RNAcentral lists this ribosomal RNA (402 nucleotides) under uncultured bacterium. RNAcentral's name for it is "bacterial SSU rRNA". It matches the Rfam family "Bacterial small subunit ribosomal RNA", at positions 490 to 890 of the family's 1533-position model. The record is from RNAcentral.
GCCACGGCUAACUACGUGCCAGCAGCCGCGGUAAUACGUAGGUGGCGAGCGUUGUCCGGAUUUACUGGGCGUAAAGGAUGCGUAGGUGGAAACUUAAGUGGGAUGUGAAAUCCCUGGGCUCAACCCAGGAACUGCAUUCCAAACUGGGUAUCUAGAGUGCAGGAGAGGAAAGCGGAAUUCCUAGUGUAGCGGUGAAAUGCGUAGAUAUUAGGAAGAACAUCAGUGGCGAAGGCGGCUUUCUGGACUGUAACUGACACUGAGGCAUGAAAGCGUGGGGAGCAAACAGGAUUAGAUACCCUGGUAGUCCACGCCGUAAACGAUGGGUACUAGGUGUAGGGGGUAUCAACUCCCCCUGUGCCGUCGCUAACGCAGUAAGUACCCCGCCUGGGGAGUACGGUCGCA